RNAcentral lists this long non-coding RNA (890 nucleotides) under Sus scrofa (pig). RNAcentral describes it as "lncRNA (ENSSSCG00055002425.1)". Lineage: Eukaryota; Metazoa; Chordata; Mammalia; Artiodactyla; Suidae. The record is from RNAcentral.
CAAGUCCACUGACACCAUCAAGUUUUAGGAGGUUUAUUCUCUGCUCCCUGAGGCCACCCCCUUGUAUAAGAAGAUGCUAAUUUUAACAGGAGAUCAUGCAUCCCAAGAGCAGGAGUGAACGUGCAGCUAUUUCUUGGCAACCCUAACUGCCACCAGAGUUGCCAGGCUGCUAAAGGCAUUCGCCUGUGCUGUACACACAGCUGGGAAAUCAGAAGCAAGGAGCUGGGUUUGUUACCAGCCAAAGCCCUGGAACUCACAAGGCAAUCUGCUCUCCUUGGGAAGUUUUUGUCUGAGCAUCUGAGAUAUUUUCAAGUAAGAAGCCAUGGAGAUUGGAAGAGCUACCCCUGCAGCAAAAUCAGCCUUGUGUUAUGUACAGGCUGGCCUGUGACAACAAGCCCUGGGGACACUGGGGUUCCAGCCCUGCUCAGCCGAGCUUCAUGCAUUAUGGAUGAAGAUUGUCGAUGCGCAGACUUCAGGGACAUGGCUCCUCCAAAGCAAAAUCAACACUCCAUGCAACCACUACCUACCAACAGCUGUUGUCCAGGGCUUGAAAGAUGGCUCCAGCAGCAAUAGUAGUAAACAGGAGCAAGAAUACACUGAGUAUUCCUUUUAAGUGUUGUUUCGAAGACAAAACGAAAACUUCAAUCAAAAUGAAAUGAUUAGGAGUUCCCGUCGUGGCGCAGCAGAAAUGAAUCCGACUAGGAACCCUGAGGUGGCGGGUUUAAUCCCUGGCCUCGUUCAGUGCGUUAAGGAUCCAACGUUGCCUUGAGCUGUGGUGUAGGUCGUAGAUGCGGCUCGAAUCCCGUGUUGCUGUGGCUCUAGCGUAGGUCGGCAGCUACAGCUCUCAUUAACCCCUAGCCUGGUAACCUCCAUAUGCCACGGGUGUGGCC